CGAUGAAAUUAAUGUGCGUCCUAAGGCUUUUCCAAACAAUAUUUUACGUGGAAAACCUUUCAGUUCUCUAAUGCUUUCGUUCAGUCAGCGUGAAAACCGUUUCCAUAGUAGAAGGAGCCACGCUGUUCAUUUUUAUGAAGUUGAAAAAAUCUUGUUUUUGCACUGAUUAGAAUGGGUGUGAUGAAAUCUCUCUCUUGCUGUGAAGCCAGUUUGUGUUAUCCCAACCUUUUCU
This is a non-coding RNA of Pelobates cultripes (western spadefoot toad), 232 nucleotides long. The record is from the annotation of a GenBank genome assembly. NCBI's taxonomy places the organism in Eukaryota, Metazoa, Chordata, Amphibia, Anura, Pelobatidae.